Molecule: long non-coding RNA, 1717 nt
Organism: Pygocentrus nattereri (red-bellied piranha)
Lineage: Eukaryota; Metazoa; Chordata; Actinopteri; Characiformes; Serrasalmidae
Source: Ensembl
AUGAUGAGAUUAGUUCAGGUAGCCAUAUAUUUGAAUAACCACACUCAACUCUGUUCUAAACACUGUAUUGAUGCAAAACAUCCCCUGUACUAUUCAGAAAUAGCAGCCGAAGAGGAGUUGCUGCAGGCUCAGUUGUCUGAGAUGGAGCAGCAUUUGGCUGAGCAGGAGUGUUCCCAGAGGGAGCUCAGGGCCAAUCUGCAGCACAAGGGGGCGCAGGCGGUGGCGCUGCAGGUGCGGCUGCGGGAUGAGGAACGCCGCUUUUUGGAAGAACUGAAAAGACGCAGUCACAAAAUCACUGCCCUGAGCCGCGACCUCCGCAAGCAAACAGACAUUGCUGCCCAACUCGCUUUCCAACUGCACUCAGCACGCUUCCGCCUCUACCACCAGACUGAUGAGGAGGAGGAGGAUGAAGGGGACACACAGGAACCGGGCUGUUCUGGUAGUUCUCCCCAGGCUUCACCUAUCAGAGCAGAAGUGAGACACCGCAGUCAUUCCUCAGUGCGGAUAAGGAGGUCGGAGCGAGCAAGGGAGUGUGUGCCACGUGAAAGAGUGCUGGGGCCGGAAGAGCCCCGGUCUAUGCCCGACCCUGCUCUAUUCCUGUACCCCUUCAGACACAGGCUCCUGCCUCUGCACACGUCACUGGGUGGACGCUGGAGGGAAGGGGGGCUAACAGAGAGGUCAGAUGGUCGAAGGGGUAGACUAAGGACACGAUCAAUGAGAGAUAAUACUGGACCAGAGACUACAGAAUUAUAGGGCCACAUUAAGAUAAAUGAUCCUGCUAUUAAAAGACGUGUGAGUUACACUAUAUUUCAGUUGUACAUUAUCAGUACCAGUCUGUUCUAAAAUGUCGGUCUACAACGACCAUAUCUAUGGCAACCUGAUUAACCCAGAAAACAAAUCAAAUUUAUGUGUAAUCAUACACUACUUACUGCACCUUGUAUUACCCACUCGUAUAUAUCAACUUUAUUUAUGAUAUGGAAAAAUGCUGCAAAACAAAGGGAUAACAUUUUGUGUAGUUAUACCUUGGAUAAACAGUACCCUCUUGAGUGUUAGAUUACCUGUUAUUUUCAUACUUUUACUCACAAUCAGAGUUGGAUUUGGUAUCAUGUGACCAAAAGACUGAAUUUAAUAUGAUGAAUUAAGUGAUGAUUUAAAUAAAGAUUUUUGCUUAUGCAAGCUUAGAGAAUAUAUGGACCAGAUGAAAUUUUAAUUUGAUAUUUGGACAUUAAAGGGGGGGAGGUUGUCCACUAGUGUUCUAAUUUGGUGCCAGAAGUAGGUUAGUCCAAUAAUACUGGCCAAUUAAAUAAAUAAGCAUAGGCCCAAACGAACUAAGUAGUCAGUGCUUCCCUCCAAGCAUACCAACCUGUUCAGUUGUACUGAGUUGCAUAAGCAUUAAAAUCUAAUAUAAAGGAAAUAGUUUUAAAUAUCACACUCAUUCACAUGAAGACAAACAGCAGCUGAUCUUUUGAUUGUCUAGUUAACAGUAGACAUAAUAUGGUGUAUAUAGUUUUAAGACCACAGACUAAAAGAGGACCUAAGAUGACUGACAUAUUUAUGGGUCUUGUAAACUUGUCACAGAAACACAUAGAUGCUGUAAACUGGAACCACACUGUCGAAGUUUACUGUCAGUUUUUUUCCAGCUUAAUAAGCUGAACAAGUAAUGUGGUGUGUUAUCUAAGACACGUUAAUAAAAUUACUCUUAUUUGUUAUUUCUUUG